GGUAGUAGCAAAUAUUCAAACGAAAACUUUGAAGGUCGAAGAGGGGAAAGGUUCCAUCUGAACGCCACUUGCACAUGGGUUAGUCGAUCCUAAGGGUCCAGGGAACCCCAACAAAUAGCGCAUAUCGCACGUACCCCGAAUGGGAUCGGGUUAAAAUUCCUGAAUCGGGAUGUGGCGGUUGAUGGCAAUGUUAGGAAGUCCGGAGACGUCGACGGGGGCCACGGGAAGAGUUAUCUUUUCUGUUUAACAGCCUGCCCAUCCUGGAAACGACUCAGUCGGAGGUAGGGUCCAACAACUGGAAGAGCAGCGCACAUCACGUGGUGUCAGGUGCGCCCCCGGCGGCCCCUGAAAAUCUGAAGGACCAUGUUCCGUCCAUGCCUGGUCGUACUCAUAACCGCAUCAGGUCUCCAAGGUUAACAACCUCUGGUC
This 429-nucleotide ribosomal RNA is filed under the name Nicotiana attenuata. Its description in RNAcentral is "rRNA LSU_rRNA_eukarya". It matches the Rfam family "Eukaryotic large subunit ribosomal RNA", at positions 1456 to 1888 of the family's 3401-position model. Lineage: Eukaryota; Viridiplantae; Streptophyta; Magnoliopsida; Solanales; Solanaceae. The record is from RNAcentral.